UACAGAGGUGGCAAGCGUUGUUCGGAAUUACUGGGCGUAAAGCGUGCGCAGGCGGUUCGUUGUGUCGGUGGUGAAAGCCCCGGGCUUAACCUGGGAAUGGCCAUGGAAACUGGCGAACUGGAGUGUGGCAGAGGGGGGUGGAAUUCCGCGUGUAGCAGUGAAAUGCGUAGAGAUGCGGAGGAACACCGAUGGCGAAGGCAGCCCCCUGGGCUAGCACUGACGCUCAUGCACGAAAGCGUGGGGAGCAAACAGG
RNAcentral lists this ribosomal RNA (253 nucleotides) under uncultured bacterium. Its description in RNAcentral is "partial 16S ribosomal RNA". It matches the Rfam family "Bacterial small subunit ribosomal RNA", at positions 524 to 776 of the family's 1533-position model. The record is from RNAcentral.